RNAcentral lists this ribosomal RNA (412 nucleotides) under uncultured bacterium. RNAcentral's name for it is "bacterial SSU rRNA". It matches the Rfam family "Bacterial small subunit ribosomal RNA", at positions 30 to 429 of the family's 1533-position model. The record is from RNAcentral.
AGUGAACGCUGGCGGCAGGCCUAACACAUGCAAGUCGAGCGGCAGCGCGUCCGACCACCCUCGGGUGGUCGGAUGGCGGCGAGCGGCGGACGGGUGAGGAAUGCAUCGGAAUCUGCCUCGUUGUGGGGGAUAACGUAGGGAAACUUACGCUAAUACCGCAUACGACCUACGGGUGAAAGUGGGGGACCUUCGGGCCUCACGCGAUGAGAUGAGCCGAUGCCGGAUUAGCUAGUUGGCGGGGUAAAGGCCCGACCAAGGCGACGAUCCGUAGCUGGUCUGAGAGGAUGAUCAGCCACACUGGAACUGAGACACGGUCCAGACUCCUACGGGAGGCAGCAGUGGGGAAUAUUGGACAAUGGGCGAAAGCCUGAUCCAGCCACGCCGCGUGGGUGAUGAAGGCCUCGGUUGUAAG